Molecule: ribosomal RNA, 468 nt
Filed under: uncultured bacterium
Lineage: Bacteria
Description: partial 16S ribosomal RNA
Rfam family: Bacterial small subunit ribosomal RNA
Source: RNAcentral
GACGAACGCUGGCGGCGUGCUUAACACAUGCAAGUCGAACGGAAAGGCCCUGCUUUUUUGGGGUGCUCGAGUGGCGGAGGGGUGAGUUACACGUGAGUACCCUGCCCUUCCCUUUGGGAUAACUUCAUGAAACUGGGGCUAAUACCGGAUAGGAGCUCCUGCUGCAUGGUGGGGGUUGGAAAUUUUCGGCGGUUGGGGAUGGAAUCGCGGCUUAUCAGCUUGGUGGUGGGGUAGUGGCUUACCAAGGCUUUGACUGGUAGCCGACCUGGGAGGGUGACCGGACACACGACGACUGAGAGAGGGCGCAGACGCCUACGUGAGGCAGCAGGGGGGAAUAUUACACAGUGAGCGGAAGCCUGAGGCAGCAACGCCGCGUGCGGGAAGCCGGCCUGCGGGUAGUGAAACGCUGUCGCCUGAGACGCAGCGUUAGUGACGGUACUGGGUAAAGAAGCACCGGCUAACUACGUG